GAGAUCUGGUGGCAUCUGACUGUAUCUCGAUGACAGCCAUGAGAACAGAUGUCUGAGG
This 58-nucleotide unclassified non-coding RNA is filed under the name Mus musculus (house mouse). Its description in RNAcentral is "partial C/D box snoRNA; small non-messenger RNA (snmRNA)". Lineage: Eukaryota; Metazoa; Chordata; Mammalia; Rodentia; Muridae. The record is from RNAcentral.